This 325-nucleotide ribosomal RNA is filed under the name Enterococcus faecalis. Its description in RNAcentral is "bacterial SSU rRNA". It matches the Rfam family "Bacterial small subunit ribosomal RNA", at positions 1 to 308 of the family's 1533-position model. The record is from RNAcentral. Lineage: Bacteria; Bacillati; Bacillota; Bacilli; Lactobacillales; Enterococcaceae.
AUGAGAGUUUGAUCCUGGCUCAGGACGAACGCUGGCGGCGUGCCUAAUACAUGCAAGUCGAACGCUUCUUUCCUCCCGAGUGCUUGCACUCAAUUGGAAAGAGGAGUGGCGGACGGGUGAGUAACACGUGGGUAACCUACCCAUCAGAGGGGGAUAACACUUGGAAACAGGUGCUAAUACCGCAUAACAGUUUAUGCCGCAUGGCAUAAGAGUGAAAGGCGCUUUCGGGUGUCGCUGAUGGAUGGACCCGCGGUGCAUUAGCUAGUUGGUGAGGUAACGGCUCACCAAGGCCACGAUGCAUAGCCGACCUGAGAGGGUGAUCGGC